AAUGUAUGACGCUGUUAACUUUUUAAUCAACGUUUGACCAUUUGUCUUAUUCAAAAAAUUUAUGUUAUUAUUAUUUAUUUUAUCGUGACUUGAUUUAUUAUCAAUUGUUCUUUAAGCAUGAUAUAAAUAUUUUUAUAUUUACACAAAAAAAUUUGAAUAAGACGAAUGGUCAAACGUUGAUUAAAAAGUCAACGGCGUCAUACAUU
RNAcentral lists this microRNA precursor (206 nucleotides) under Oryza glumipatula. RNAcentral describes it as "MIR812 microRNA precursor family". It matches the Rfam family "MIR812 microRNA precursor family". The record is from Rfam by way of RNAcentral. Lineage: Eukaryota; Viridiplantae; Streptophyta; Magnoliopsida; Poales; Poaceae.